This 541-nucleotide ribosomal RNA is filed under the name Leucorrhinia pectoralis. RNAcentral's name for it is "eukaryotic LSU rRNA". It matches the Rfam family "Eukaryotic large subunit ribosomal RNA", at positions 669 to 1136 of the family's 3401-position model. Lineage: Eukaryota; Metazoa; Arthropoda; Insecta; Odonata; Libellulidae. The record is from RNAcentral.
AGGAGUCUAACAUGCGCGCGAGUCGUUGGGUCGGACACGCUCCGCUUAAACCCAUAGGCGCAAUGAAAGUGAAGGUUUCCCUCCGCGGGACCGAGGGAGGACGGAGGCCGUCGCUCGCGCGGCGGCCUCCCGCACUCCCGGGGCGUCUGAUUCCUCUUUCUGAGGGAAGGCGCACCCAGAGCGCACACGUUGGGACCCGAAAGAUGGUGAACUAUGCCUGGCCAGGACGAAGUCAGGGGAAACCCUGAUGGAGGUCCGUAGCGAUUCUGACGUGCAAAUCGAUCGUCGGAGCUGGGUAUAGGGGCGAAAGACUAAUCGAACCAUCUAGUAGCUGGUUCCCUCCGAAGUUUCCCUCAGGAUAGCUGGCUCUCGGAGUGGAGUCUCAUCCGGUAAAGCGAAUGAUUAGAGGCCUUGGGGCCGAAACGACCUCAACCUAUUCUCAAACUUUAAAUGGGUGAGAACUCCGGCUUGCUCGAUACUCUUGUGAAGCCGGAGAUGGGGCCUUCGGGCCCCGCGGAUCGGAGUGCCUAGUGGGCCACUU